GGGCCGGCCGGCGUCUACCAUGCAGUCGACGGAAGGCCCUGCUUUUGUGGGGUGCUCGAGUGGCGAACGGGUGAGUAACACGUGAGUAACCUGCCCUUGACUUUGGGAUAACUUCAGGAAACUGGGGCUAAUACCGGAUAGGAGCUCCUGCUGCAUGGUGGGGGUUGGAAAGUUUCGGCGGUUGGGGAUGGACUCGCGGCUUAUCAGCUUGUUGGUGGGGUAGUGGCUUACCAAGGCUUUGACGGGUAGCCGGCCUGAGAGGGUGACCGGCCACAUUGGGACUGAGAUACGGCCCAGACUCCUACGGGAGGCAGCAGUGGGGAAUAUUGCACAAUGGGCGGAAGCCUGAUGCAGCAACGCCGCGUGCGGGAUGACGGCCUUCGGGUUGUAAACCGCUUUCGCCUGUGACGAAGCGUGAGUGACGGUAAUGGGUAAAGAAGCACCGGCUAACUACGUGCCAGCAGCCGCGGUGAUACGUAGGGUGCGAGCGUUGUCCGGAUUUAUUGGGCGUAAAGGGCUCGUAGGUGGUUGAUCGCGUCGGAAGUGUAAUCUUGGGGCUUAACCCUGAGCGUGCUUUCGAUACGGGUUGACUUGAGGAAGGUAGGGGAGAAUGGAAUUCCUGGUGGAGCGGUGGAAUGCGCAGAUAUCAGGAGGAACACCAGUGGCGAAGGCGGUUCUCUGGGCCUUUCCUGACGCUGAGGAGCGAAAGCGUGGGGAGCGAACAGGCUUAGAUACCCUGGUAGUCCACGCUGUAAACGGUGGGUACUAGGUGUGGGGUCCAUUCCACGGGUUCCGUGCCGUAGCUAACGCUUUAAGUACCCCGCCUGGGGAGUACGGCCGCAAGGCUAAAACUCAAAGGGAAUUGACGGGCCCCGCACAAGCGGCGGAGCAUGCGGAUUAAUUCGAUGCAACGCGUAGAACCUUACCUGGGCUUUGACAUGGAAUCGGGAGGUGCUCAGAGAAUGGGUGGUGCCUUCUUUUUGGGGUCGGUUCACAGGUGGUGCAUGGCUGUCGUCAGCUCGUGUCGGGAGAAAUGUUGGGUUAAAGUCCGCAACGAGCGCAAUCCUUGUUCACCUGUGUUGCAGCACGUUAUGGGUGGGGACUCAAAUGGAAUCCUCGGUCGGGAUCCCACCCCCGGAGGAAGUGGGAUAGAACCCUCCAAGUUCUUACUAUAGUGCCUAUAUGUGCCAAGGCUUACAGACUAUG
RNAcentral lists this ribosomal RNA (1206 nucleotides) under Cutibacterium acnes. RNAcentral's name for it is "bacterial SSU rRNA". It matches the Rfam family "Bacterial small subunit ribosomal RNA", at positions 37 to 1224 of the family's 1533-position model. The record is from RNAcentral. Lineage: Bacteria; Bacillati; Actinomycetota; Actinomycetes; Propionibacteriales; Propionibacteriaceae.